Molecule: unclassified non-coding RNA, 965 nt
Filed under: Hevea brasiliensis (rubber tree)
Lineage: Eukaryota; Viridiplantae; Streptophyta; Magnoliopsida; Malpighiales; Euphorbiaceae
Source: RNAcentral
AUUUUGUUAUUUUUUUAAUUGUUAUUAAAUAUAGUUUUAAUUAAAUAGAACAAAAGAAAUAAAUAAAACUUAUAAUUUAUUAAAAGAAACUAAAAGGAAAUAUUGUUUUUCUUCUCUCUACUAACACGUGGGAAGAAAGACGUGGAAACUUAAUUCCCCAAACACAAAUUCUCACGUGGAGGCAUAUUUGAAGAAUGCCGAUAUUGAUACAAUCGGCAAGCUUUCUUUUCAUUCUUUUAAUUCAUGUUACCGCUAUUUAAACUAAUGGUAUCUAAUACCGAUAAUCAUCUUGUUGGCUUUUUUGAUAAGAAAAGCUUGAUGCAUUCAUAGCAAGCUUGGUAUGAAUAUAUACAGUUACAGAGAAUACCAAAUAGGAAGCUAUCAUAAUUACAAGGAUCCUAAUUCCGAUUACAUAAUUACAGCAUCAACUAAUUAGAAGGAAAUGUCUCAAUAGUGACCAAACCCAAAUUCUCACCGGCUUCUACCUUUUGAGUUGCAAGCUUACACCGCAACUUCCGCAAGCCUCUCUCAACUUUUGAUUUUGUAAUUCCUUGAUUUUGAUUGUGUUGACUUUGAAUUUGUUUCUCUUCUUUUGAUUUCUUAGCUUUGUUUUUUUUAUUGUGUCAGCUUUGAUUGUAUUGUUGUAUUUUGAUUGUUUGCAAAGGGGAUCUGAUUGUUUGCAUUCUGUUGUGUAAUUUGGAUUCUGGGGAGAAUGGGUAGAACCGAUUGACUGAACCAAAAAAAUCAGUUUGGUCUGAUUUGAUUUUCUUGUAUAAUUUGGUUCAGUUUAUAAAAAUUUAUUUUUCGAUUAUUUUGGCUUGGUUCGGAAUCAAGCCAACCGAUUGCACAACCCUUACAGAGUUAAGUGCCUUCCCAAUUUGGCAUUAACUUGAAAUAGAAGGUAUGGACCGAACUGGAAUAUCUGCAUGUCCUCCUUUUGAGUCCUUAGUGGUGACAAAUAUCAA